UUUGGACGGGCUGAACAAUAGUCCACCCCGCAAUGUAAAAGAAUUCAAACAGCUAGCAUUACAGUGCAUUUUAGUUUAAACACGAUAAGUUAAUAGUUCACUGUGUUCAACUUAUACUUGCCAGCCGCUGACGUGUCACUUGUGUGGCGGGGAUAGGACCAAUUUUGUAAUUAUAAAUUUCGUGAAGCUAAUUGUUAAAAAAAAAUUAUGCGGGGGCUAAAUGUA
RNAcentral lists this long non-coding RNA (225 nucleotides) under Ananas comosus (pineapple). RNAcentral's name for it is "long non-coding RNA (ACOM_LNC041093)". Lineage: Eukaryota; Viridiplantae; Streptophyta; Magnoliopsida; Poales; Bromeliaceae. The record is from RNAcentral.